GGAGAGGUGGCUGAGUGGUCGAAAGCGGCGGUCUUGAAAACCGUUGAACCUUGCGGUUCCGUGGGUUCGAAUCCCACCCUCUCCGCCA
RNAcentral lists this transfer RNA (88 nucleotides) under Pseudomonadota bacterium. RNAcentral describes it as "Proteobacteria bacterium tRNA-Ser". It matches the Rfam family "tRNA". From Rfam's summary of the family: Transfer RNA (tRNA) molecules are approximately 80 nucleotides in length. Their secondary structure includes four short double-helical elements and three loops (D, anti-codon, and T loops). The record is from RNAcentral. Lineage: Bacteria; Pseudomonadati; Pseudomonadota.